AUGAAAGUAUUGUUUUAUAUAGAUUAUUUAUUAUCAUUGAUUGGAAGUUUAUUAUUGGUAAUUUGUGUAAUAGUAGGGGUGGCUUUUUUAACUUUAUUAGAGCGGAAAGUUUUAGGAUAUAUUCAAAUUCGUAAAGGACCUAAUAAAGUAGGAUUUAUAGGGUUAUUACAACCUUUUAGUGAUGCUGUAAAGUUAUUUACUAAGGAACAAACUUAUCCUUUAUUAUCUAAUUAUAUUUUUUAUUAUUUUUCUCCUAUUUUUUCUUUAUUUUUGUCUUUAUUAAUUUGAAUAAGUAUACCUUAUUUAAUUAAAUUAUAUUCUUUUAAUUUAGGAGUUUUAUUUUUUUUAUGUAUUACUAGAUUAGGAGUUUAUACUGUAAUAGUGGCGGGGUGAUCUUCUAAUUCUAAUUAUGCUUUAUUAGGAGGAUUACGUGCUGUUGCACAAACUAUUUCUUAUGAAGUUAGAUUGGCUUUAAUUUUAUUAAGAUUUAUUUUUUUAAUUGGAAAUUAUAAUUUUUUGAAUUUUUUUAUAUAUCAGAAAUAUAAAUGAUUUAUUGUAUUUUGUUUUCCUUUAGGUCUUGUUUGAUUUGCAUCUUGUUUAGCUGAAACUAAUCGUACUCCUUUUGAUUUUGCUGAAGGGGAGUCUGAGUUAGUUUCAGGAUUUAAUGUAGAAUAUAGAAGAGGGGGGUUUGCUUUAAUUUUUUUAGCUGAAUAUUCUAGUAUUUUAUUUAUAAGUAUGUUAUUUAGAGUAAUUUUUUUAGGUAGAGAUAUUUAUAGAAUUUUAUUUUUUUUUUAAAUUGACUAUUAUUUCUUUUUUUUUUAUUUGGGUUCGAGGGACUCUACCUCGGUUUCGGUAUGAUAAAUUAAUAUAUUUAGCUUGAAAGAGUUUUUUACCGAUGUCUUUAAAUUAUUUAUUUUUUUUAUUGGGGUAAAAAUUUUUAUUUUAUCUAUAUUAUUUUAAUGAAUAAUUUUUAGUAUAAAAUUAAAUGAUUAGAAGGCUUGACUUCUUUCUUAUGUUUUCAAGACAUAUGCUAUAAAAGCUUAUUAAUUAAUUUAAUAAUUUAUCUCAAUAUUUUGAUAUUAAAGGAUUAAUAAUAAAAUAAGAAAAAUAUAAUACUGUUAGAAUUUGUCCUGUUAAAACAUAAGGAUCUUCAACAGGGCGAGCUCCAAUUCAAGUUAAAAGGGAAGCUACAAUUACUAUAUUUCAAAAUAAAAUUUGAUUUAAAGGAUAGAAUUGUAAUCCUCGGAAUUUACUAGUAUGAGUAAAUGGGAGAAUUAUUAAAAUUGCAAUAGAUAAAACUAAUGCAAUUACUCCUCCUAAUUUAUU
RNA transcript from Aedes aegypti (yellow fever mosquito), 1326 nucleotides. It is a transcript of the gene named NADH-ubiquinone oxidoreductase chain 1-like, with no coding region annotated. Lineage: Eukaryota; Metazoa; Arthropoda; Insecta; Diptera; Culicidae. The transcript is spliced from 2 exons. The record is from RefSeq and is a predicted model, not a curated record.